RNAcentral lists this ribosomal RNA (411 nucleotides) under Bacteroidota bacterium. RNAcentral's name for it is "Bacteroidetes bacterium partial 16S ribosomal RNA". It matches the Rfam family "Bacterial small subunit ribosomal RNA", at positions 355 to 776 of the family's 1533-position model. The record is from RNAcentral. Lineage: Bacteria; Pseudomonadati; Bacteroidota.
UGGGGAAUAUUGCGCAAUGGGGGAAACCCUGACGCAGCGACGCCGCGUGCGGGAUGAAGGCCUUCGGGUUGUAAACCGCUUUUGAUUGGGAGCAAGCUUUCGGGUGAGUGUACCUUUCGAAUAAGCGCCGGCUAACUACGUGCCAGCAGCCGCGGUAAUACGUAGGGCGCAAGCGUUAUCCGGAAUUAUUGGGCGUAAAGCGAGCGCAGGCGGUCAAUUAAGUCUGAUGUGAAAGCCCCCGGCUCAACCGGGGAGGGUCAUUGGAAACUGUUUAACUUGAGUGCAGAAGGGGAGAGUGGAAUUCCAUGUGUAGCGGUGAAAUGCGUAGAUAUAUGGAGGAACACCGGUGGCGAAAGCGGCUCUCUGGUCUGUAACUGACGCUGAGGCUCGAAAGCGUGGGGAGCGAACAGG